GAUGAACGCUAGCGGCAGGCUUAACACAUGCAAGUCGGGGGGCAGCACGUCUUCGGAUGGUGGCGACCGGCGCACGGGUGAGUAACGCGUAUGCAAUCUACCUUUUACAGGGGCAUAGCCCGGGGAAACCCGGAUUAAUAUCCUAUAGUACCAUUAUAUAGCACUAUAUUAUGGUUAAAGUUUCGGCGGUAAAAGAUGAGCAUGCGUCCUAUUAGCUUGAUGGUAAGGUAACGGCUUACCAUGGCUAUGAUAGGUAGGGGUCCUGAGAGGGAGACCCCCCACACUGGUACUGAGACACGGACCAGACUCCUACGGGAGGCAGCAGUGAGGAAUAUUGGACAAUGGGCGCAAGCCUGAUCCAGCCAUGCCGCGUGCAGGAAGACGGCCCUAUGGGUUGUAAACUGCUUUUAUACGGGAAGAAACACCCCUUCGUGAAGGGACUUGACGGUACCGUAUGAAUAAGGAUCGGCUAACUCCGUGCCAGCAGCCGCGGUAAAUACGGAGGAUCCG
RNAcentral lists this ribosomal RNA (510 nucleotides) under uncultured bacterium. Its description in RNAcentral is "bacterial SSU rRNA". It matches the Rfam family "Bacterial small subunit ribosomal RNA", at positions 28 to 536 of the family's 1533-position model. The record is from RNAcentral.